Nymphaea colorata (pocket water lily) is the source of this 680-nucleotide long non-coding RNA. RefSeq lists it as uncharacterized. Lineage: Eukaryota; Viridiplantae; Streptophyta; Magnoliopsida; Nymphaeales; Nymphaeaceae. The transcript has 3 exons. The record is from RefSeq and is a predicted model, not a curated record.
CCCGUGUCUUGAAGUGUUCCGAGGGUAAGCAAGGAACGGAGAGGACAGUACACGGCUCGAUCUCCCUCGACUCUUCUUACUCUCCUCUCUCCCUCCCUCAACCUCUCCCGCUGCGCUCUCGCCCCCUCUCGCUGUUUUGAGCUAGGAAUGGUUGGAAUCCCUAAUCUUUGCAGCUUCUUCUUUCUCAUCCCUCCCGAGGCACUCACUCUGUCACUCUUGCCCUCAACUCUUUGCCUCACACGAUUGACCGAUUAUCCAUGACACCGAGGAUCCAGAGAGGAAUGGGCUAGAGGAGGUGACAUCAGAGGCCAUGAGAGAUGACAAGGACACCACAGCAGUCGUGCAGCCAUUGUCAAGCUUGAGGAGGACGAAGAAGUUCUUCUCAAUAUGAAGGCGAAGCUUUAUUGGUUCAGUAAAGAGGGAAAUCAGUGGCAAGAGGGGUAUCGGAAACGUGAAGCUCUUGAUUUCUUCUGUAUUUGUUAAAUUUGGAGCAAAUUAUGACUAGUUUUUCAGGUGGAAAGUCAUGAAAGAGAAAAAAGAUGGACAUGGAGGUGAAGAUAAUUACUUGAUGGAUCAUGAAUUUUGUUGUAUGUUUGAUGAAUGAUUGUAACAAGUUAAUUCUUUUAGUCAUGUAAUCAACAAGUUAUCAAUAUAGAAUUUGUGUUAUUUUUUUUUAAUAA